Molecule: ribosomal RNA, 253 nt
Filed under: uncultured bacterium
Lineage: Bacteria
Description: partial 16S ribosomal RNA
Rfam family: Bacterial small subunit ribosomal RNA
Source: RNAcentral
UACGUAGGGGGCAAGCGUUGUCCGGAAUCAUUGGGCGUAAAGAGCGUGUAGGCGGCUCGGUAAGUCCGUUGUGAAAGUCCAGGGCUCAACCCUGGAAUGCCGGUGGAAACUGUCGAGCUAGAGUCCGGAAGAGGCGAGUGGAAUUCCUGGUGUAGCGGUGAAAUGCGCAGAUAUCAGGAGGAACACCAAUGGCGAAGGCAGCUCGCUGGGACGGUACUGACGCUGAGGCGCGAAAGCGUGGGGAGCGAACAGG